This 433-nucleotide ribosomal RNA is filed under the name uncultured bacterium. Its description in RNAcentral is "partial 16S ribosomal RNA". It matches the Rfam family "Bacterial small subunit ribosomal RNA", at positions 29 to 507 of the family's 1533-position model. The record is from RNAcentral.
AACGAACGCUGGCGGCAUGCCUAACACAUGCAAGUCGAACGAGACCUUCGGGUCUAGUGGCGCACGGGUGCGUAACGCGUGGGAACCUGCCCUUAGGUUCGGAAUAACUCCCCGAAAGGGGUGCUAAUACCGGAUAAUGUCUUCGGACCAAAGAUUUAUCGCCUUUGGAUGGGCCCGCGUUGGAUUAGCUAGUUGGUAGGGUAAAAGCCUACCAAGGCGACGAUCCAUAGCUGGUCUGAGAGGAUGAUCAGCCACACUGGGACUGAGACACGGCCCAGACUCCUACGCGAGGCAGCAGUGGGGAAUAUUGGACAAUGGGAGAAAGCGUGAUCCAGCAAUGCCGCGUAAGUGAUGAAGGCCUUAGGGUUGUAAAGCUCUUUUACCCGGGAUGAUAAUGACAGUACCGGGAGAAUAAGCUCCGGCUAACUCCGUG